UCCCGGAUCCUUACUUAGGAGGACAAAAUGGUAACACAACAAAUGUUUUAGGAGGAAUCAGAGUUGUUAAAAAGGGAUAUGGUUGGUUGUAAGGUUUAACAUAUAUGUGAACUGAGGUUUGGUAAAAUCGGGUUUGCAUUGACUCAUAUCAGCUCUUUCUAAGUACAGGGAGAGCUGAGAAACUCUGCAGAGAGGAGAGGUUAGAAACUGUCCAGUGGUACAUGCUGUGAAAGGAAAAGGAAUAGAAAGAUUUAACAGCUGGGAUGGAGCGCAGAGAGUUUACAUUCAAGAGAUGUACUAAAGAGGCCUCAGCCAACAACAUCGAUGACAGCUAAAAUCAAAAGUGAUUUUAAGUAAUUGGCAGUUCUUCUCGGGACUGCUUGCCCCAGCAUAUAUCCUGCUAAGUGCUGGGGUUUUUAAGAACCACAAGUAUAAAACUGUAGCCCUACAAGGCAUGUGACACUUGGCCAUUUAUUGCACAUUGCUGUGUGUCCAAAGGAAGGAAGGGAGGAAGAAAGGAAAGAAGGAAGAGAGGAGUUUAUUUCCAGGACAGUAUCUUCAAAGGAACCCACAUGCUGACAAACUGUUAGAAAUUUGAGCAUUACCAGAAUUGGAGUAAGUAACUUUACUAACAGUGCCACCACUUGUCUUUUUGGGCAGACACAAAACGU
RNAcentral lists this long non-coding RNA (671 nucleotides) under Cyanistes caeruleus (blue tit). Its description in RNAcentral is "lncRNA (ENSCCEG00000020673.1)". Lineage: Eukaryota; Metazoa; Chordata; Aves; Passeriformes; Paridae. The record is from RNAcentral.